RNAcentral lists this long non-coding RNA (460 nucleotides) under Lathyrus oleraceus (garden pea). RNAcentral describes it as "Pisum sativum (pea) long non-coding RNA (PSAT_LNC008700)". The record is from RNAcentral. Lineage: Eukaryota; Viridiplantae; Streptophyta; Magnoliopsida; Fabales; Fabaceae.
UAUUUCUAAAAUCCAUAUCCAUUUUAUAACCGAAUAUCCAUUUCCAUAAACCAAGUUACAACCAUUCUUAUUCUUUACAAUCACUUCAAUCAAGUUCAAAUUACAGCCAAAACCUAAUUACAUGGUCAUUUCUAAACCAAUACCAUUAUACAACCACUGCAAUUUCUAAUCCAAGGUUACAAGGUAACAUUACCACAUACAUUUCAUAAACUACAUAACCAUUACAACCAUUUCAUCACACUUCAAAUUCAAUAAUCUCAUACAUUUCUACUAUUACACAACAUGAACAUUUCAUAAACUACAUAACCAUUACAACCAUUUCAUCACACUUCAAAUUCAAUAAUCUCAUACAUUUCUACUAUUACACAACAUGAGCCAAUGCGACAAAGUCCGAAACAGCUCCAUUGCAUUUUACCAUCCAAGAUUCCAAGCAAGCCCCGAACUAAGCAACUCGCAUCCA